CAGGAUGAACGCUGGCGGCGUGCUUAACACAUGCAAGUCGAACGAAGCCAAAAGGAAGCUUGCUUCUUGAAGCUUAGUGGCGGACGGGUGAGUAACGCGUGAGGAACCUGCCCUUCAGUGGGGAAUAACAGCCGGAAACGACUGCUAAUACCGCAUAACGUCGAAGUGCCGCAUGACAUUUCGACCAAAGGAUUUAUUCGCUGAAGGAUGGCCUCGCGUCCGAUUAGGCAGUUGGUGAGGUAACGGCCCACCAAACCUACGAUCGGUAGCCGAACUGAGAGGUUGAUCGGCCACAUUGGGACUGAGACACGGCCCAGACUCCUACGGGAGGCAGCAGUGGGGAAUAUUGGGCAAUGGGCGAAAGCCUGACCCAGCAACGCCGCGUGAAGGAUGACGGUCUUCGGAUUGUAAACUUCUUUGAUUGGGGAAGAACAAAAUGACCUACCCAAAGAACAAGUCACGGCUAACUACGUGCCAGCAGCCGC
This 485-nucleotide ribosomal RNA is filed under the name uncultured bacterium. Its description in RNAcentral is "bacterial SSU rRNA". It matches the Rfam family "Bacterial small subunit ribosomal RNA", at positions 25 to 518 of the family's 1533-position model. The record is from RNAcentral.